UCCUGAGCGUUGCUUUUGGGUCCACUCUGUCCACACCAUAACAGUUUCUAAAUACCACAGCGUCGGCUGUGCAAGUCCUCUUCAACGUACGAACUUAAGUAUAUUUCUUUUUCACCUGGGUGUGAUUUUUUGUGAGAUGAAACUGGAGCACCCGGAGUAAACCCAUGCAAACACGGAGAGAGAACCAGAACUGAACACCAGUCCUGGCUUACUGGUUUCCCACCCAUGAAAAUGCACACAUUUGAUAAUAUUUUAGAUGUGUGGAGUCUGAUUCCCCUUCACAAAAACUCCAGGACCAGAGGGGAGUGUACCUGAGGAAAGAGAAUGAAACAGAGAGUGUAGGAUAUUUUAUGUAUAAAAAAAGAAUAGACAGUAAACCAAUGUCAGCUAUUA
This is a long non-coding RNA of Micropterus salmoides (largemouth bass), 393 nucleotides long. RefSeq lists it as uncharacterized. The record is from RefSeq and is a predicted model, not a curated record. Lineage: Eukaryota; Metazoa; Chordata; Actinopteri; Centrarchiformes; Centrarchidae. The transcript has 2 exons.